Molecule: transfer RNA, 76 nt
Filed under: bacterium
Lineage: Bacteria
Also listed under: 6 other names
Description: tRNA-Thr
Rfam family: tRNA
About the family: Transfer RNA (tRNA) molecules are approximately 80 nucleotides in length. Their secondary structure includes four short double-helical elements and three loops (D, anti-codon, and T loops). Further hydrogen bonds mediate the characteristic L-shaped molecular structure. tRNAs have two regions of fundamental functional importance: the anti-codon, which is responsible for specific mRNA codon recognition, and the 3' end, to which the tRNAs corresponding amino acid is attached (by aminoacyl-tRNA synthetases). tRNAs cope with the degeneracy of the genetic code in two manners: having more than one tRNA (with a specific anti-codon) for a particular amino acid; and 'wobble' base-pairing, i.e. permitting non-standard base-pairing at the 3rd anti-codon position.
Source: RNAcentral
GCCGGGGUAGCUCAGUCGGCAGAGCAACUGAUUCGUAAUCAGUAGGUCGGCGGUUCGAUUCCGCCUCCCGGCACCA